UAAAUUCAUAGAAACGAUUGAAGAACAGUAGUGGUGUGAACGGCUGAAGAGAAACAGGGAGGGGAGUUUAGAGAGAAUGGCAGCGGCGCCAUUUCUACGCAACAGAUAUUGGAUUCUCAGGCAUGGCAAGAGCAUUCCCAAUGAGAAGGGCCUCAUCGUUUCUUCUAUAGAAAAUGGUACCCUCCCUGAGUAUCAACUGGUUUCUGAGGGCGUUGAACAGGCGCAGUUGGCUGGAGAACAAUUCUUAAAGGAGUUGAAGGAAAAUUGCAUACCGCUCGAAAAUGUUCGGAUUUGCUAUUCGCCAUUCUCAAGAACAAUCCAUACAGCUAAAGCGGCUGCAUCUGCACUGAAUCUUCCAUUUGAAAGCCCUCAGUGCAAGAUGAUGGAAGAUCUCAGGGAACGCUACUUUGGUCCUUCAUUGGAGUUCUUGUCUCAAGCCAAAUGUAAAGAAGUUGGGGCUGUUGAUGAGGAAGAUCCAUUCAAGCGCCCCGAAGGUGGAGAAAGCGUUGAAGAUGUUGCUUCAAGACUAGCCAAAACAGUGCUUCAAAUGGAGUCACAAUUUCAAGGGUGUGCCAUCUUGGUGAUCAGCCAUGGGGACCCCCUGCAAAUUUUGCAGACAGUGAUGGGAGCUGCCAUGGAUGAAAAUGGAUCGGGCUCUGAUGAAUUGGCAUCGAGAUUACAAGCCGCCAUCACCAAGCCUAUUCUCUCGCAGCACCGGAAAUUUUCUCUUCUCACCGGAGAACUUCGAGCUGUCGUUUGAAUUCCUGUAACUUCUCGCCGGACUUGUUGAAGAAGGUGACCUCAAGAAUCGUUGCUUCUUCAUCUUUUUUCCUUGGAAUUAAUGUUUUUAAUAUAUUGAAGGUUGAAUUUCAGGGUUAGGCAGCUGAGAAAAGUAAUUAUAUUCUUUGAUCAUGUAUUAAAAGUGGUGAUUUAUACUU
This is an RNA transcript of Cucurbita moschata (crookneck pumpkin), 938 nucleotides long. RefSeq lists it as uncharacterized. NCBI's taxonomy places the organism in Eukaryota, Viridiplantae, Streptophyta, Magnoliopsida, Cucurbitales, Cucurbitaceae. The transcript has 7 exons. The record is from RefSeq and is a predicted model, not a curated record.